UCACGGAUUCGUGGAUGGCGUCUCUCAGCCUUCCGGGUUUGUGUCACCACGCCCUCCUUGGAAUUGUAGGAUUUAGUGUCCUAAUGUUUUUUGUGAGUUGACCGAUUUCUUUGUCGCCAUCUGAAUGCCAUAUCGUGCCUGGUAUGAGAUUUAUUUAUCUAAGCAUAAUUCACAUCUUAAGAAUCUGAGCUCAGAGCACUGUCUCCUGAGAUCUGCGCCAUGAUGGAACUUCGGACUCUGGGAAGCCAAGCAAGCACCUCCCUUCCCUGGGAUCGAACUCACAACUGCCUGCUUGCAAGGCAGGCACUUAUGCCACUGAGCUAAAUCUCCAGCCCCUCUAGCAAACUUCUUGCAUCUAAGUAAGGAUAUAUAAAUGCUUCUGGUGAGUGGAAAAUGAAUGGAAAUGCUGUGAAUUACAUGGAGGUAGGAAUGUUUAUAAAGUGUGCUGUGUCUUUUUUUGUCAACUGGAUCAACAUGAAGAAAAAUUUGGGCUUUCAGUGAUUUUUGGCGGGGGAAGAGUACUGGGUGGAAACAACCCCAGGGCCUUUAUACUUCUUUUUAAUUUGCAUAAAAGUUGUCACUGAGCCACUAAUUUGCCCCAGCUGAGCUCCAACUUUGUUUCCCCUGCCUCAGCCUUCCAGAGCCUUGGAUUACAGAUGUAUGCUGGAUUCAGAGGUUUUUAAGGCCUGAACAAUUAUGGAAGAAGCCUAUGUCUUUGUCUGUAUAAUGUUGCUAUCAACAUACUACCAUACACUGGUAAAUUUGUCAAAGAAAAGUUUAUUUUGGCUCAUUUGGCUCAUUUGGCUUAUUUGAAAGUGCAAAGUACAGGGGCCAUGUAUGUUGCCAAGAGUACAAAGUGAUGCAGGUUAUCCUAUGGUGACAGAUAAAGAGUUUAUGUGUAUCUGCCUGGCAUCCUGUUUAAAUGUCACUUAUAGUUAAUGGGCUGAAGAAGGUAGCUCAAUGAAGAGCACUUGCUUAGCAUGCACAAGGCCCUAGGUUCAAUCCCAGUACCUCAGAACAAAGGAAAAAAGAAAACAAAACAUACAACAAAAAGAAAAAAAAUAAUGUCCCCAGUACACAUUCAUGAGGCUUCAACCUGAUAUAGUAUCUUUAUAUUAAUCAUUUCUUAAAGAAAAAUGUCUAAUAGAGGAAUGGCUGGGUAAUUUAUGGCCUACCUAUACUAUGAAAUAGUAUUUAGUGUAUUGGCAGAUUUAUCUAUUGCACUUGGUUAGCGUUGUUAUGUAUUCUAUAAAGUUAAGUUUACUCAACAAUAAAUCUGCAGAAGUUUGGAAAAAGAUUAUUUUGGUAGCAUAAAAAUGCCAAUGAAUUUUUAUGUAAACAAAAGCAAUCUGCAAAGUAAUAUGUCUGUGCUAGUCUCUUUUUUUGUCUAAGAAAGAAAGGAAGGGACAGUAAGGUUAAUAAGAAUUUUUAGUGGUAAUACAUAUAGGAAUUUGAUAUAUCAAGGGAAUGGAAUUGGAAGGUGUUCUGGCUUAUAUCUAGAUGUCCCCUAAAGCUUUAUAUGCUUAUAGGUGAGGCUUUUGGAAGUGCCUGGAUUGUAGGUGCAUGAUACUGUAUUAGCCCACUGGUACUGCAUAAACCCAAUUGGUUUAGCAUGGUUCUGUAUGUGGAUAAUGAAUGUAGUGAAGAGGGAAGAUACAUUCUGGAUGUGGGUGGCACACCCACUGCAGCUUGAGUGGAAUAAAAAGAGAACAGGAAGGCUCACUGCUUCCUGUCUAUGCCAUGACCUGUUUCUUCUCUGACAUGCCACCUGCCUUGAAGCCAGCCUCACUGUGGACUAAAACCUCUACAAAUUGUGAGCUGAAAUAAAACUUUCCACCUCUAA
This is a long non-coding RNA of Cavia porcellus (domestic guinea pig), 1843 nucleotides long. RefSeq lists it as uncharacterized. The transcript is spliced from 3 exons. Lineage: Eukaryota; Metazoa; Chordata; Mammalia; Rodentia; Caviidae. The record is from RefSeq and is a predicted model, not a curated record.